Molecule: non-coding RNA, 478 nt
Organism: Castor canadensis (American beaver)
Lineage: Eukaryota; Metazoa; Chordata; Mammalia; Rodentia; Castoridae
Source: the annotation of a RefSeq genome assembly
UAGCUCAAACAAGACAAUGGACUUUCAAGCUCCAAUUAUCACAUUCCUCUUGCUCAUUUUCACAGUGUCCAAUGGAGAAAUUGUGCUCACUCAAUCACCAGCAUCCACGGCUGUUUUUGAAGGAGAGAGUGUCACCAUCACCUGCAGUGCCAGCUCAAGUGUCAGCACCAGCUACUUGCACUGGUACCAACAGAAGCCAGGGGACUCUCCAAAGCUCCUGGUUUAUAGAACAUCAAACUUGGCCUCUGGAGUCCCAGCUCGCUUCAGUGGCACAGGGUCUGGGACCUCUUAUUCUCUGACAAUCAGCACUCUGGAGACUGAUGAUAUUGCAACUUACUACUGUCAGCAGACUAGUAGCACUCCAUCCACACAGUGUUACAGAGUGGAACAAAAACCGCCUAGAGCUUGUCAAAACACUGCUACUUCCCCCUCAAAUGUUGUGACAUGUUCAAAGGUGACAGUGUUCAUCUGUAACUGA